AGAUCUAAGGGCGUACGGUGGAUGCCUAGACUGAAAGAAGCGAUGAAGGACGCGGCGUGUCUGCGAUAAGCUUCGGGGAGGUGAUUAGCAACCUUUGAUCCGGAGAUUUCCGAAUGGGGAAACCCUUCCGUGUAAACCACGGAAGCCGUGUCUUACACAGAAUGUCUAAUUUCUAAUUGUCUAAUUCACCUAAUAAAAUUCAAAAAUCUAAAUAACCAAAUAUCAAAUAGAAAUUUCUGUUUGAGAAUUGGACAUUUAUGCAUUUGGGAUUUUAUUAGAAAUUAGGUAAUUAGGUAAAUUAGAAAUUCCGUAUAGGACGCGGCGCGUACCCGCUGAAGUGAAACAUCUCAGUAAGCGGAGGAAUAGAGACCAAUAUAUAGCGCUUACAUUGCAUUACAUUUUAUGCGAUGCGGUGUGAGCGCUUUGGAAUUCCCUAAGUAGCGGCGAGCGAAAAGGGAGAAGCCCAAACCCCCACACCAACUUUGGCAUUGUGUUUUUGUUGCCAAUCAAUGUUGAUAACAGGAAUUUAUUUUUCUGUUUAAAUAAUAUUGUGUGACAAAAAUUACAAAAACACGAGGUAACGAUGCUAAAGUUGGUGUGGGGGGGUUGUAAGAUAACAGCGUCAUUUUUAAAAUGAGAAAAGUUACAAAAUAUUUUGUUAAUUGAAUCUGCUGGAAAGCGGAACCCCAGAAGGUAAUAGUCCUGUAAGUGAAAAUAAAAUAUCUUUUUUGCUGUUACUCUUGAGUAUCCCAAGAUAUGAAUAGCUUGGGUGAAUCUGCCGGAACUAACCGGUAAGGCUAAAUAUUCUUUCAGAUCGAUAGUGAACUAGUACCGUGAGGGAAAGGUGAAAAAUACCCCGGUGAGGGGAGUGAAAUAGAUCUGAAACCGUAUGCCUACAAGGAGUCGGAGCCGUGCUUCGCACGGAAUAUCUAAUAACUAAUUCCUAAUUUCUAAUGAAUUCGUUAAUGUCUAAAUUUUUAAAUUUGGAUAUUGAGAUUUAUUUAGAAAUUAGAAAUUAGAAAUUGGGAAUUCCGCGCGGAGCGCGGUUACGGCGUUCCUAUUGAAGAAUGAGCCAACGAGUUUAUAUAUACUGCUUGGGCUAACCCAGCCGCGGUUUUAGGAAGUGGAAAUUCCAAAAUCGUAAGACCGCGACUGGGGAAGCCAUAGGGAAACCGAGUGUGAAUAGCGCGAAAUUUUGUAGUAUGUAUAAGACCCGAAGCUAGGUGAGCUUGCCAUGGGCAGGGUGAACUAAGAUGAAAGUUUUAGGGAGGCCCGAACCGUUUAGCCGUACAAUACUAUCGGAUGACCUGUGGUAAGGAGUGAAAAGCUAAUCGAACCUAGUAAUAGCUGGUUCUCUCCGAAAUAGCUUUAGGGUUAGCGUUCGGCGUAUCUUUUGGGGGUAGAGCACUGGAAGGCGUAAAUAGGGAGAAAUCUCGUUAUGCCUAUCAAACUCCGAAUACCAAAAGUAAUUACCGAGCAGUUAGACCGUGGGGGCUAAGCUCCACUGGUCAAAAGGGAAACAGCCCAGAUCUCAAGUUAAGGUCCCUAAAUUUACAUUAAGUGCGCUUAAGGUUGUGAUAUUUCUCAGACAAUGAGGAUGUUGGCUUAGAAGCAGCCAUCAUUUAAAGAAAGCGUAACAGCUCACUCAUUCAGAGAUUUCGCGCCGCAGAUUAUCGGGGCUAAAUGUAAUACCGAAACUGAGGGUUUGUGCAUAGCACAAACGAGUUAUAAAGUUAUCAAGUUUGUAAAGUUUAAAGUCAAAUACUUUAUUACUUUUAACUUUUUACUUUUGACUCGCUUGUGCUUUGCACAAGCGGUAGGAGAGCAUUCCAUUCUGCUAUGAAGCCAAAGGGGUAACCCAUGGUGGAGCGUAUGGAAGUGAGAAUGUUGGCACAAGUAACCGCAAUCCCGUUGAGAAUACGGGACGCCGAAAAACCAAGGUUUCCUUGGCGAUGUUAAUCAGCCAAGGGUUAGUCGGGCCUAAGCGUAUGGUGAAAACCGGACGCGAUGGACACACGGUUAAUAUUCCGUGACUUUCUUUUUAUGCGAUGGGGGGACGAAGCGCAGUAUGUUGGGUGUAUUAUUGGAUUUACAUUCAUAGCGUUAGGAUGUUCUUUUGGUAAAUCCGAAGAAUAUAGUCCGAGCGCCGUGAAAAUUUUGCGGCUUCGGCCAAUGAAAAUCUGACAAAGCGCGCUUCCAAGAAAAUCCUCUAAGCACAAUAAAAAGAAAACCGUACCGCAAACCGACACAGGUGGUUGAGUCGAGUAGACUCAGGCGAACGAGUGAUUGUUCCUCAAGGAACUCGGCAAACAAGCGACCGUAACUUCGGGAUAAGGUCUUCCAGCACCUAUUUUACAGAAUGAAUACACACCAAGUAAUUAUAUAUACUUGAGUGUAUAUUAACGAGAAAAAAACGCAUCUGCGUUUUUUNNNNNNNNNNNNNNGCAGAUAUAAGCCCUGGUGAAUGUCGGCCGUAACUAUAACGGUAGUUUUGCUACGCUUUUCUCAUAUUGUUAAAAUAUGAAAAAAGAAACAAAAAGGGCCGUUGUAAAAUUUGGCUAUAUGCUGGAAAAUCUGCAAUGAACUUUUAGUACCUUGAUGGUAAAAAUCUAAAAGCCGACGCAGACAAUCAGCAGGAAAGAUUCUAAGAGUGUCAUCUAACACGAUGACAAUACAACAAAAACAUAAAGAAUAUUAUAAUCGUCUUUCAAAACUGCAAGGAAAAUAUCUAAACUAUUUUGUUGCAGGUUUUGUAGACGGUGAAUCGAGUUUCAGUGUCGCGAUGACGCGGCAAAAGUAUCCAUUGUUAGCGAAAGGAUGGAAAUGGAUUCUUAACCCGGUCUUUAAUGUGUAUCAACACGAGAACAAUAAAGACAUACUUCUUCUUUUAAAAGACAAAGUAUUUAAAACGGGGAGAAUUCAUAGAAAAACUUCUCCGUAUAAUGUGUUUACUUAUACAAUUGAAAACAAUAAAACGCUUCAUAAAAAAAUAAUACCUUUCUUUAACAAAUAUCAACUUGCCACUAAAACGGAAGAUUUUAAUAAAUUUUCAAAAAUAGUGGAUAUGGUGGAUAAAAAGACCCAUCUUGAUAUGGAAGGAUUUAAACGAAUUGUAGAUAUAGCAUUCACUAUGAAUGCUCAAGGUAAAAAUCGAAAAUACUCAAAAGAGUAUAUUUACGAAACAUUAUCAGAUCAAUUCGACACUCUUAGAAAAUCCUCAGAGACUACACGCCAAAAUCAGUAAGUUAUACUGAUAAGAUAUAGUCCAUAAGGUGCUUUAAAACUCUUGUUUUAAAGAUCGAAUGCCUAAGGUAGCGAAUUUCCUUGUCUGGUAAAUUCAGACGCGCACGAAUGGCGUAAUGACCUGGAAACUGUCUCGAGGAACAGCUCGGUGAAAAUGCAAUACCGGUGAAGACGCCGGUUACCUGCAGCUAGACGAAAAGACCCCAGGAGCUUUACUGUAGCUUCGUAUUGGGAUUGCGAUUUAAUUGCGUAGCAUAGGCGGGAGACUUUGAUGUUUAUCUUUUGGGAUAAGCGGAGUCGUCAGUGAAAUACCGCUCUAUUAAAUUUCAAUUUCUAACCACGACGGUAAAAACGGCGCGGAACAGUGCGUGGCGGGCAGUUUUGUUGGGGCGACAUCCUCCUAAAAAGUAACGGAGGAGUUUAUUAAGGUUGGCUAGGCGCGAAUGGAAACCGUGCCGAUAGUGUAAUGGCACAAGCCAGCUUGACUGCGACUCGUACAUGAGAAGCAGAUGCGAAAGCAGAACAUAGUGAACCGAUGGUCCGCUUUAGACGCGGCCAGAGAUCAACGGAUAAAAGCUACCCUGGGGAUAACAGGCUGGUUCCGCCCAAGAGUUCAUAUCGACGGCGGAGUUCGGCACCUUAACUCUCAACUAAACACUGAGAAACAUCGGGGUGCCUAUGAGAGUAAUCUCAUACAAAAACAAUUUGGCUUAUAACGGUGGACUCCAUACGCAGGUCUUAUAUCAUAAUAAUGAUAUAAUUGAGCGUAUGGACAAUACCGUGGGAAGUCUAACUCAAUUACAAAAGUCAUUUCUCACUGGAACUCUUUUAGGAGACGGAUAUAUCCGUCAAGCAAAAUGGAUAAAAAAUGCAUUUCUUGAGGUAAAUCAUUCAAUAACUCAAAGAGAGUAUGUUGAAUGGAAAUACGAAAUCAUUAAAAAUUUAACGCGAACUGGUCCAAAAUAUAGAAAAGGAAAUGGGAACCGGAUAGCAUAUAGAUUUUUUACAAAACAACAUCCUGAAUUUACAAGAAUAAUGGAUUUGUUUUACAGAGAUAAAAAGAAAUGUAUUCCUGAUCUAAUAUUAGAUUCAAUGAGUUUGGCAGUAUGGUUUAUGGAUGAUGGCAGUAGGUGUGGUAAAAGCAAUGUUUAUCUUAAUACUCAGCAAUUUUCAAAAGAUGAUCAGUAUAAAUUACUGAAAUAUUUAGAAAAUAUGGGAUUAAACGGGACAUUGAAUAAAGACAAAGAAUAUUAUCGCAUCAGAUUGACAUCAUUCAGUAUUUCUAAACUAUUUGGAAUAAUUGAAAAACAUAUUAUUCCAUCUAUGAAAUACAAAAUUGGGUUAUGACCCUGUAGAGACUUGACCUUAACUGGUCGGAGUGUGAAGGAAAACUUCAUGCUAAUACGCCGAACCCCAGCACUUAUUUUUGUUUUUGCAAAAAUAAGUGCUGGGUGAAGAUAUAGUCCGAUCCUUCCGGUAACGGAAGAAAAAUACGACAUAGCGAUGUCGGCUCAACUUAUCCUCCUGCUGAAGAAGGUGGGAAGGGUUUGGCUGUUCUCCAAUUAAAAAGUUACGCGAGCUGGGUAAGUGUAAAUGAGCCCAGCUAAAGACAAUCUGCGAGGUAUAUAAAUAAAAGAUAAGAAAUAAACUGACUCAUAACGGUGAAGUCCUAAUUUCUAUAAUAAAAUAUGGAAAUGGGUAAUAUCGUGGGAAGUCGUCCAGCACUUAUUUUAGAAAAAAUAAAAUAAGUGCUGAAUUGACCCCGUAACGACUUGUCUAUAAAAUAGGCAGAGCGUUUUGCUUAAAGCAGACGCUAAUAUGUCAGUUUUUGCGUUGAAAAACGCAAGAAAAGGUAUAGUCUGUCCCGCCAGUAAUGGCGGACAAAACAAUCGUCAGACCGUCGAGCGACGAAGUCGCUCGACACUUCAAAAAAUUCAGACUUCGUAAUUCGACAGUCUGAACAAACAUUAGUUUUUUCGUCUAUGAAAUAAAGUUUUAAUUCUGAUUAACUUCAGAGUUAGAGUUCCGAUAAACAUAAUCGGAAAUAGGAACAACCAUCACGGCGGCUAUAAUUAUCAGUUAAUAGAUAUUAGCUGAUAAUUAUAGACAAGCUGGGGUUAUCGGUGGAAUCCUGAAGAGAGGACAAUACCGAGAGGAUAUUUUAUCCUUGUAGAGACUAUAAACCAGCCUUUAGAUUAUUCUAAAGAUAGUAUAGUCCGAUCCCGCCGGUAACGGCGGCGUUAAGAGUUUUGGAUUUUUGGAUUAACUUUCAAACUUUCUAAUUUAUAAACUUUUAACUACUAUUGCGUGAGACAGGUUGGUCUCCUAUCUGCUGCAGGCGUCGAUUUUUGAGAAGAGCUUUGGAUAGUACGAGAGGACCUUCAAGGACUGACCUCUGGUGUAGGAGCUGUUCCGCCAGGAGCACCGCUCCGUAGCUAUGUCGGGAAUGGAUAACCGCUGAAAGCAUCUAAGCGGGAAGCCAACUUCAAGAUUAGAAAUCAUAGAUCCCUAGGAGAUGACUAGGUUGAUAGGCCUUAGGUGUAAGCGCGGCAACGCGUUCAGCCGAGAGGUACUAAUUCAUCAUUUUCUCUUAU
RNAcentral lists this ribosomal RNA (5837 nucleotides) under Candidatus Campbellbacteria bacterium CG10_big_fil_rev_8_21_14_0_10_35_52. Its description in RNAcentral is "23S ribosomal RNA". The stretch from base 2 to 3990 matches the Rfam family "Bacterial large subunit ribosomal RNA". The record is from RNAcentral. Lineage: Bacteria; Candidatus Campbelliibacteriota.